Molecule: ribosomal RNA, 146 nt
Filed under: uncultured Anaerolineaceae bacterium
Lineage: Bacteria; Bacillati; Chloroflexota; Anaerolineae; Anaerolineales; Anaerolineaceae
Description: partial 16S ribosomal RNA
Rfam family: Bacterial small subunit ribosomal RNA
Source: RNAcentral
UACAAUUGGUAGCGAAGUCGCGAGGCGGAGCCAAUCCGUAAAAGCUGGCCUCAGUUCAGAUUGCAGGCUGCAACCCGCCUGCAUGAAGAUGGAGUUGCUAGUAACCGCAGGUCAGCAAUACUGCGGUGAAUACGUUCCCGGGCCUU